Molecule: long non-coding RNA, 1121 nt
Organism: Gorilla gorilla gorilla (western lowland gorilla)
Lineage: Eukaryota; Metazoa; Chordata; Mammalia; Primates; Hominidae
Exons: 4
Source: RefSeq, a predicted model, not a curated record
GCAAGGUUGAGAGCUGGAACGCCGAGGGGCGGCGAACAAAGAGCCCCGACAGAAAGGUAAAAGCAGCCUCCAUAACAACACGCUAUAUCUUAUGGAGAAAAAAAAUGUAUUUGGGAGCAGCUAGGUAAUUUGACCAGUAUGGAUGGUAUGUCUAGUGUUAUACUUUAUCUGAAUGGACUAGGAAAUCUUUACUAUUAUCAGUUUAAAUCAACAAAUAAUUGCCAAGUCCCCUCCUCCUCUGGGACUACCUCAAGAUAUAACAGAUGUUGGAAGACACGAAAGAAAGGUCAAGGUAAUCCAAGAUCACAGGAUUCCUUGAUGGCAUAACUGGAAUUAGAAAACAGGCAUGACUGUAAGGAGGAACUACGGAAUGCUAACUACAUGCCCGGCUCUACGCUAGGCACAUUACAUCUGUGAUUUCACUGAUAUCUUUUAAGACACCUAAUGAGGUGGAAUGCCGAGUAUAAUACAUCCAAAGACAUUACAAAUUCUUCUUAUGUUAGGGAAGGCAAGACACCCCCACCUCCAACAGUUAUGCAGCAUCAGCAAAAACAGAGUCCAAAACAACUGUGCAUCACACUGGGAGCCAGUGAAGGAGAGGGAACGGAGAGCAGGUGUUCGGUUGCCUGGUGAAUGGUCCAUUUAAAAAUUCAACAAUAGUCAGAGGGGAGUAGAGAGUACAACAGCCACCACCGUAAUUGGUGAAAUCAGGAUUUCUCAAUUCAGUGUAAACUCACACCCUAAAAGAAGGCACACUAUAAAGCAGAUUUCCAUAAACACAGUGCAUCAUUUACUCCUAACGAUAUUAUUUUAAAAGCAUGCUCUUCAGGCAAAAUCGCUGAAAGACCUACUCAAGCAACAAAAACCAGUGCUGCUUCAAUGUCAAAUCUCCCUAUGAGAUAUUAAUCAUUAGCUGGAAGAAAUAGGCAAAAGCAGUUUUUUACUGCAGAACCAACUAAUUAUCUUUCAUAACUCUUCUGAAAACCAAAUGUAAAAGCUCAAGUGAAAAACAUGUUAAAUGCAUUUGUGUCUAGACUUUGCCAAGAAAAUAAGGGAGUUUAAGUGCACAAAAUCAAAAGAUCUUACUAAACUAGAAUUUCAAAUAAAGGUAAAAAAAAUCA